UGUUAGCAAUAAUGUGAACCUGUGAUCAAGC
RNAcentral lists this non-coding RNA (31 nucleotides) under Homo sapiens (human). The record is from RNAcentral. Lineage: Eukaryota; Metazoa; Chordata; Mammalia; Primates; Hominidae.